This 1941-nucleotide long non-coding RNA is filed under the name Canis lupus familiaris (dog). Its description in RNAcentral is "lncRNA (ENSCAFG00000050116.1)". The record is from RNAcentral. Lineage: Eukaryota; Metazoa; Chordata; Mammalia; Carnivora; Canidae.
GGUUUUCUUUGCGUCGCAGACCUGCAGGUUGAAGCUUAAAAGUAGCGAAUGGGGAGCCCUGUGAAAUGGAUGCAGCAGUCUCAGCCUUGGUUUCUGAGGCUGGAAAAGGAUCCUGCUUCUGUAGGACCUGCUUCUGCAGAUGCCAGUAGGAGUCUACUGGGGGUCUACUGCCCUGGGCCCAAAGAGGAGACUGACUUCUGUAUAUGUCUGCAGUGUGUGAGACAACUGAACUACUUUGCCUGAGGUUGGAGUCCCCUCAUUACUGAUCCAUCAAGUGACUCUCUUUGGUCUUACACGUUCUACCCCAGUGAGUGAUGCCAGCUGGAGCAGCACGGCCUCUGUUGCUGUUAAUGCCUAGAAAAUAAUCCCCCAAAAGGAGAAUAAGAAGUCUUUGGGCUUUCUCUUCAAAAAGGAGCCAAAGGCUACUUGAGACCAUCCUGAAUGCCACAGUUGAGCUGAUCUGGGGGUAACUUGCGUGUGGGCAAGAAGACCGUGAUUGUAAACUGAAUGCUAUGAACAUGUACGUGCUCUGUUUGGGAGCCUGCGAGGAAGCAGGUGCUCAGCCCAGGAGGAGGUUUCUCCGAGUGGAUUUCCUGUGAAGUUAAUGUUUGUCACUCAGGCUUAAGUUUUGAAGCACAAAUAAACAUUUUUAAAAAUGGACUUUGUAACAUGGAUUUCAUGUUGAGAUGUUCAUAAUGGGAUUUUAUUCUGUGACUCAGCUAACACAUUCUUGUAUGAAUGAAUGUUUCCCAGAAUAUUUUUAAAGGGAGAGGGAGAAUCUCAAGCUGACUCCAUGCCCAGUGCCACAAUCCUGAGAUCAGGAGCUGAAAUCGAAUCAAGUCAGGUACUUCAGGCUCUGCGCUCAGUGGGGAAUCUACUCCCAUUCCCCCUGCUUGUGUGCACCUUCUUAAAGUCUUAAAAAGUCAGAUGCUUAACUGAGCCACCAAGCUGCCCCGGGUUUCACAGAAUACUGUUAAUAAUAAUUAAAGUUAACAUGGGAUAGGAUCAGAGGUUUUAUCUUGUAAGUUCUCCAAUAAAUUGAUUUUCUGCCCCUCUUAACGGGGCGCCAUCCACCAACAACUUCAGCAUUUCUCAGUAAAAUGUUCUGGACAUAAGAGGGUCAGACACCUAACUUGAGCUAUGCUGGCUUAUCAAGGUGAUUGGAUUUCUUUACUAGUAAAGGUCACUGUCAGAUGGCCGAGUGGACAGACACGCAGUACCGUGUUUCCCACAGUGUUCUUUUUGGACCAGUACUAGGCAAAGAAACCUACUUGGGACACUGCUGUCAUUGAGACCAAGGGACAGUUUGAUGUUGCCAAGCUACAGGGAGAGGCCUUGGCCUCCUGCAGUACCUGACCUGCCCCCUGCUCCUCUCCGUCUAAACUGCUCACCAGCUGCAGGAAUCGGUGCUUUCAAGUAGCUGUGUAGUCGUGAAAGCCCAGGUCUCCGUAUCACACCUGAAUUUCUAAAGUAGAAUUUUGAUUCUGGUGACAAAAUUCAUCCCUCUUGUUAAAUAUGCUGAUAGGAUCUGCCUUUCAAAACCCCAGAGCCAGAGGCCAUGUCGUGGGCUUUGGUGGAUUGGCUAGUGGUGAUUCGUGUCCCCUUGGGAAGGCCCUUGCCAGCCAGCCCAGUAGAGACCCCCUCCACCCAACCCCUGAGGCUUGCACAGUGUACUAGGUCAGACUGUCAGGCUACUAGUCAUCAGGCCAGUAAAUCCCAGGGCUUAAGGGCUAUGUGGCGAUAACUUGGGUUAGUUGAGCCUUACCCUUCCAAUAGAAGCCCAUGUGCUCUGUCUAAAAUGAAACUGCUUAUCCACUAAAUCCAGAUUUACCGGAGCCGUGAUGUCAUCCUUUCGGUGGUAAGGUGGUAAUACAUCUCCAGUGGGACUUAGGCAGCCUUCUGUGCAGUUGACCUCUGUCAAAAUACCAGGGCUUGCCCAUG